RNAcentral lists this long non-coding RNA (480 nucleotides) under Carica papaya (papaya). Its description in RNAcentral is "long non-coding RNA (CPAP_LNC002165)". The record is from RNAcentral. Lineage: Eukaryota; Viridiplantae; Streptophyta; Magnoliopsida; Brassicales; Caricaceae.
GACCGGGUACAUAGGGAACCCUACCAUGAACGUUGCCUUAUAUUGGAUGGGGUAUCGAUGAUUGGUAAUUUAGCGCUCAUACAGGAGGGAUAUGGGGACGAUCCGUUUCACCCUCAUAUCGGACGGGAUAUUGACGGAUGGUAUUUCUUGGCGCUCAUACCGGAUAGGAUAUGGAGACGAGCCGUUAGUUAAAAAUAUUAAAAAAGGGUUCACCUGUAGUGGGGACAUCCCUAUGGAGCCCCAUGGAUACCAAUAGGUUGAUAAAUGAGAAAGUUAUUGUUCUGACUGAUUGAAUAUGAGAUUAUGAUAUUGUUUAUGUUAUUGCCUCUAUAGGUCAAUUUUGAAAAUCUCACUACGGUAAGUAUGCGGUAAAUGAUUUUAUUCAUGAAAAACGAAUUUACUUAAAUUAAGAGCUCCAUUAGUUGUUUUUAUGAAUUCUACAAACCUUCAUUUCUGUGUCGGUGAGUAGUGUGAUAUUCU